Panthera uncia (snow leopard) is the source of this 3785-nucleotide long non-coding RNA. RefSeq lists it as uncharacterized. NCBI's taxonomy places the organism in Eukaryota, Metazoa, Chordata, Mammalia, Carnivora, Felidae. The record is from RefSeq and is a predicted model, not a curated record. The transcript has 3 exons.
GAAGCAGGCUCCAGGCUCUGAGCCAUCAGCCCAGAGCCCGAUGCGGGGCUCGAACUCACGAACCGUGAGAUCGUGACCUGAGCCGAAGUCGGACGCUCAACCGACUGAGCUACCCCGGCGCCCCCCUUUUAUUCCUUCUUAAAGCCAAGGAGGAGAAGUGUUAUUCUAGUUCCUAUUUUAUUCUAGUUCCUAUUUCCGACGAGGAAACUGUCAGCCAGUCGUUCGCAAUCUGUCUCAUUGACCUUUACCCUUCCGUCCCAGGUAUCCAGGCUCUCUGUGGGAGUCCCCUCUGAACUGCAGCCACACUGCCCUCUACUUGAUGAGUACUCCGUGGUCAGACACUCAGAUGCAACCACGAAAGAACGGUGAGCGAAUGAGAAGGCCCAGGAUGCAAAAUUUCGGGAGGCGCUCACAGUCCUGCUCCUGCAAGAGUGGGGUCAGCAUCUGAGAGCAGGUGACUCGUUCCCCUCACCUUGGGCCCGCCCUGCUGAAAGUGACCAUGGGAACGUGGUGCCGUGCAGAUCCCAGCUACCGGUGACUCCACAAUGGCCGCUGCCCUUGGGACCACUGUCUCCUAAAACAGGACUGAAGCCUGGAACAACACUGGACGCAAAAGGUACAAAAAUCCUAGAUGCCACCAGGUCAAGAGCUUGCAAAGGGGCCAGAGGACCUUCUUGAGGGCUGACCCUGGAGCCCGACUGCAGGAAGAGGGGUGCACUGGGUAGAAAGGGUUAGGGGCAUUCAGUCCACGGAAGCAUGCCCACGUGGUGUAUUGUGGGCACUCCUGCUCCGUAAGUGGGGGGCGGGGGUCAAGCAGGGAAGUGCAUUAGGAUCUGAGACUCUAUCAGGGGCACAAAAGGAGCCUUGGAGAGGUUCAGCCAGAUUAGACAGACCCUCUGGGAGAAUCCUUCUGAUGCCCUGUAGAUGAGGGUGGGGUUAGCCUAAAGGCAGGGAGCUGAGUUAGGUCCCGCAGUCAUCUAUUCAUAUAAAAUCAUUCGUUACAAAUAGCACCGUGUAUGCCCCUCAGGUCCUUGGUGCCGUUUUGAUUCAUGUCACAGAUUCAUCUACAAGGUUGCAGUAGAGUCACUGGACUACGAGAAUCUUCCUUUAAAUCAUACAUUCACCCAGCCAGUAUUAAUCCAGCAUCCCCCAUGUGGCCAAUGCUGGGGACCCAAUGGCAAGCUUAGAGUUGAGUGGAAGAGACGUCAUGCACACUGUAUAACAGGUGCCUUGAAGGAAGAGUCUCAGAUGCCUGGGAAGCAUGUCGUGAGGAGUCCAGUCUGGUCUGGGGGAUGGGAGUCAGUCCAGGAGGUGACUUUGGAGUUGAAGUCUGAAGGAGGACUUGGUAUUAAACUACACAAAAUGGAGAGGGAGGAUUCUAGGUGAAGGAAGCAGCUUGUGUAAAGGCCCUGUGGUAGGGAAGAAUAUGGCAUAUUUGAGAAGUUAGAAAAACCGAGAGGGAGAGGAGGAGGGAAGUGAAGGAUAAGGGGAAAAAAAAGAGGGCCAGGCCUGCUUUGCACAGUGCCCACUCCUUACAAGCAUUUGAAGUUACUUUUUGUUAAUUUUUUUUUAAUGUUUAUUUAUUUUUGAGACAGAGACAGAGCAUGAACGGGGGAGGGUCAGAGAGAGAGGGAGGCACAGAAUCUGAAGCAGGCUCCAGGCUCUGAGCUGUCAGCACAGAGCCCGACGCGGGGCUCGAACUCACGGACCGUGAGAUCAUGACCCGAGCCGAAGUCGGACGCUUAACCGACUGAGCCACCCAGGCGCCCCUGAAGUUACUUUUUUAGACAAUCAUUUUUUAUCUCUCUUUGGCACCCUGAGCACUGGUGAGUUGUAGACAGAACCAAGAAGAGGUGGCUAUGGACAGCUGUGUUCAUGGCCUCAGCUUCUCCCCUAUUCCCCAGUCUCCUUUUGCCCCUCAGAUGUAGGAAUACCAGUCCCCAGGUUCGUGAUGUUUUGCCCUCAUAGGAAUCUGUGCAGGUUUCAGUUUUAGGAACUUGGUACCAGUACCACCUUCCCACGUACACAGUCUUGGCCAAAAAAGGGCACUAACUUUGCUGAAGUUUCUGGCCACUCAGCACUGGCAAUUAACAGUCCCCCUGCUUUAUUUUUACAAGGAACUAAUCUCACUUUCUAGAACUUGCUCAUUCUCAGAGUGGGUGAUUGUUAGCCUUUAAGACAAUCCACUAGACAGAAAAAUUUUGGGAUGUCUCUCUACCCAAAGCUCAGCAAGCCAGCCACAUAACUUGGUGCCAACACUUAUCGAAUACACAUGUAUAUCAGGUGUUUGCCGUAUGCAAGGUUUUCCAAUCUUACUACUCUGUUCGGUGGAUACUAAAACUGAGGCCCAGAAGGUUCUGCAACCGGCCCUGGGAACACAAAUAGGAAGGGACAGUCUGAACACACACCCUGGGGCCUGGCACGGGCAGCCCAUGCACGGUAGACACUCAGCUUAGCAGUGCUGUGGCCCAUAGAGGCCCGAGUGUAGACAUCAUGGCCUACUGUCCCAGCCAGGAUUCUUCAAUAGUAGACAUAAAAAUUCAGAUGUUUCUGAACUCCAAAGCCAAGUGGUUUACACGGCACCACUGUGGCUGAUGAAUUAUCAAACUUUCUGCCUCCCCCAACUCUGGCAAGAACUUUGGUAGAACUUCUGUGCCACAUCCAGUGCUAGGAACUUGCCAACUUUGCGUCCUUAAAAUAAAGCAGGUUCCAAGAUAGAUGGCAGAAAGUGGAAAACAUUUUUCUUGAUCGGGUAACUAACUAAGAACCAUGCAGCAGGCAGGAGCCAUUUUUGGCCAAAGAAGCUAUUCAUUUAAAAGUGUUUAUCGACACCUGGAAAUAGGGAUUCAGCUUCAAAUGCUAUUUUCAUGUCAGUUUAUGUUGCAUAAUUUCCUAAUGCUGAUAAAAACCUAGGCGAACACCAAAACGAGAAUUCCAAAGUCAUUUCACUGCUGACACGCUCCUCCGUGUCUACCCGCUGAAUCUGAUUGCCGAGCAGCCCGGCGGGUCACCUGCUGGUGGAAAGGCAGAGCACAGUGACGGCUCAUCGGGGUUCACACCGACCACCCGAUUUCCUUUCGGUCAGUCUCACGGCUUUUGUUGGUUUGCGUGACAGCCUCAGAUCUUCAGCGAUCACCCCUACUUUGUGCUUGGAAUGUGUCUCCCCCCUUUGGAGGAUGACUCGGAAAGACUCUCCGUCGCUGGAUUCCAUUCUGAGCCUGGUCACCCUCAGUAAACGAGGGAGCGGCUCCACACAGCCUUCGGGGUCUGAGGACGGACAGAUGGAAGGGGCGGAGGUAGGGGGUCUUGGCAGAGUCGCUACUUAGAACACGAGGCGAGUGUGGUUUCCGCGUGUGGCAGCAGAGCGACUGGGGGUCCCUGCCUUCCUGCCACGUAAGUUUCAGUGAGGAAGAAUCUUGGCUCACCACUUUGGCUUAGGAAUAUCUGGUUACCGAGCCACCUCCCAGGGCGGGGAUGCGCAAGCUCUGGGGGGCUGUAUUUCCCACCGAGGACUUGCUGAAGGCAGGAGGGCCCCCCCAGAGAAGCACCGAUGCGCAGGUACGUCUGCGUCCAGGGGCCCCGGGCUCCUUGGAGCCCCCGACGCCACCCAUGACUCCGGGGGAUGGGAGGGCUGGCCGAGGACGUGGCAAACAGGGAACGCCCAGGGGACGAGGGUAGAGGGAGAUGAGAUGUCGACACUGCUCGCGUUCGCGUCUAACCCACGGCUGCUCUCUGUCCCCUCCCCCCGUGCCAGCAGCACCGAGGACGCGACCGCACCACCGCCA